AAAAGGUGGAGGUACGGCCCAGCAGGGUCUGUGGAAGACACGUGUCAUCGUGGGCCAUGCUGUCUGCACAGAGGUCUCGGCGUACCCCCUACUGAGCCCGCUGUUCAUAUGAGUGCCACGAGGAAUAAAGAUGAAGUGGUCCCUUUUGGAGUUGGUUAACUCCCCAAAGUUCUAAAGCCCAGCCUAGGGAUUUUUCAUGAGGUCACAUGGUCUCUUAACGUCCACACCAAGAGAGGAAAAGGAGUGUCCAGGCAGCAUGACAGCUGUCCCCAGCCGGAGACCCACGUGAAGGGUUGCAGUGACGUACCUUUCCGAAGAGUGUGCGGGCUCUGGUCUGGGGGCGGCUGGCUGGGGCUGGUGCCCGCUUGGGCCCCUGGCUGCGUCCCUGCGCCGGGCGUCCCCUGGCUGGAGCCUGGACUUCCUUUCUGUGCAGAUCCCGGAGAAAGCUCCUUGCUUUUCGACGUGCUGGAACAGAAGCACACGGGACAAGAUAGGCCCUGGACUCAGGCAAACGCAGCACCAGCCUGUGGGUCGCAAUCCCACGUGCUCCGCUGGGCCAGCUCUUGGUCUGCCCCACGCCCUUCAGAGAUGCUCCGGGAGAGGGGACUGGCCCUUCUCAGGCUCUGGGGACCUGCGUUCCACUCCUACCUCCACACCCCUGGUGCCAGCUCCCUCUCCAUGCCUCUGCCCUCUGUCUGCCAGGAGACCACGAGCAUCCCCACCCUGUCUUGUGGCCAUGGCUCUCCGCUGAGUUCCCUGACCUCCACACCACAGCCCCGGGCAGGGGAGGGCUCUGGGACCCAGCCUGGGUGUCAGUCCCAGAAGCCCCCCACCCGCAGUGCUCCCACAUAUGGCCAGUUCAAGUCCCAGCCCCCCCCGCCAGGCCUAGGAGGCUCAGGGCCAAUGGUAAGGAGGGUCUCUGGCGUCCCUUGAACUAACAAGGGGACACCCUGGGUCACCAUGUCCCAAAGGGGAUUCAUCCUUCACUGCUGCCUCUCUCCAGGCAUUGUCCUAAGAAUACAGUACAUAUUCAAAGACACCCUACUCCACCCCACAGAACAGGGACAGCUAAGAGAUGGCCAGGUCGUCACUCCCCACCAUCCCCCAACACGCCCUCCACAGCAGACAUUCCUAAUAGAGCUCCAGACGUG
RNAcentral lists this long non-coding RNA (1151 nucleotides) under Ursus maritimus (polar bear). Its description in RNAcentral is "lncRNA (ENSUMAG00000021381.1)". The record is from RNAcentral. Lineage: Eukaryota; Metazoa; Chordata; Mammalia; Carnivora; Ursidae.